RNAcentral lists this ribosomal RNA (1498 nucleotides) under Ligilactobacillus animalis. RNAcentral describes it as "Lactobacillus animalis partial 16S rRNA". It matches the Rfam family "Bacterial small subunit ribosomal RNA". The record is from RNAcentral. Lineage: Bacteria; Bacillati; Bacillota; Bacilli; Lactobacillales; Lactobacillaceae.
UCAGGAUGAACGCUGGCGGCGUGCCUAAUACAUGCAAGUCGAACGAAACUUCUUUAUCACCGAGUGCUUGCACUCACCGAUAAAGAGUUGAGUGGCGAACGGGUGAGUAACACGUGGGCAACCUGCCCAAAAGAGGGGGAUAACACUUGGAAACAGGUGCUAAUACCGCAUAACCAUAGUUACCGCAUGGUAACUAUGUAAAAGGUGGCUAUGCUACCGCUUUUGGAUGGGCCCGCGGCGCAUUAGCUAGUUGGUGAGGUAAAGGCUUACCAAGGCAAUGAUGCGUAGCCGAACUGAGAGGUUGAUCGGCCACAUUGGGACUGAGACACGGCCCAAACUCCUACGGGAGGCAGCAGUAGGGAAUCUUCCACAAUGGGCGAAAGCCUGAUGGAGCAACGCCGCGUGGGUGAAGAAGGUCUUCGGAUCGUAAAACCCUGUUGUUAGAGAAGAAAGUGCGUGAGAGUAACUGUUCACGUUUCGACGGUAUCUAACCAGAAAGCCACGGCUAACUACGUGCCAGCAGCCGCGGUAAUACGUAGGUGGCAAGCGUUAUCCGGAUUUAUUGGGCGUAAAGGGAACGCAGGCGGUCUUUUAAGUCUGAUGUGAAAGCCUUCGGCUUAACCGGAGUAGUGCAUUGGAAACUGGGAGACUUGAGUGCAGAAGAGGAGAGUGGAACUCCAUGUGUAGCGGUGAAAUGCGUAGAUAUAUGGAAGAACACCAGUGGCGAAAGCGGCUCUCUGGUCUGUAACUGACGCUGAGGUUCGAAAGCGUGGGUAGCAAACAGGAUUAGAUACCCUGGUAGUCCACGCCGUAAACGAUGAAUGCUAAGUGUUGGAGGGUUUCCGCCCUUCAGUGCUGCAGCUAACGCAAUAAGCAUUCCGCCUGGGGAGUACGACCGCAAGGUUGAAACUCAAAGGAAUUGACGGGGGCCCGCACAAGCGGUGGAGCAUGUGGUUUAAUUCGAAGCAACGCGAAGAACCUUACCAGGUCUUGACAUCUUCUGACAAUCCUAGAGAUAGGACUUUCCCUUCGGGGACAGAAUGACAGGUGGUGCAUGGUUGUCGUCAGCUCGUGUCGUGAGAUGUUGGGUUAAGUCCCGCAACGAGCGCAACCCUUAUUGUUAGUUGCCAGCAUUAAGUUGGGCACUCUAGCAAGACUGCCGGUGACAAACCGGAGGAAGGUGGGGAUGACGUCAAAUCAUCAUGCCCCUUAUGACCUGGGCUACACACGUGCUACAAUGGACGGUACAACGAGUCGCAAGACCGCGAGGUUUAGCAAAUCUCUUAAAGCCGUUCUCAGUUCGGAUUGUAGGCUGCAACUCGCCUACAUGAAGUCGGAAUCGCUAGUAAUCGCGGAUCAGCAUGCCGCGGUGAAUACGUUCCCGGGCCUUGUACACACCGCCCGUCACACCAUGAGAGUUUGUAACACCCAAAGCCGGUGGGGUAACCUUUUGGAGCCAGCCGUCUAAGGUGGGACAGAUGAUUGGGGUGAAGUCGUA